Molecule: long non-coding RNA, 7109 nt
Organism: Chroicocephalus ridibundus (black-headed gull)
Lineage: Eukaryota; Metazoa; Chordata; Aves; Charadriiformes; Laridae
Exons: 5
Source: RefSeq, a predicted model, not a curated record
UCAGACUCUACUGAGAGCUACCAUCAAUUACACACAAAGUCCUCAAAUCUCUUGGUAUCUCCUUUGCUCAAGUAUAAGACUAUGCUACAACCUAUUGUGCUGGGGGGAUGUUGGGUCCCGUGGUGAAGAAAAACCCAUAGCGCCAGGCGUCAGUCACAGAGGGGGAGUUUUACGUGACUUUUAAGUGUGUGCCCAGGGGGCUGCCAGCUGUUCUCCAGCUCUGUGCCACUUCCAGACCCUGGUGACAGACAUAGGCAUUCAGCAGAGACUCUACCAGCCAGUCCGUCAGAGCAGUGGUGCACGGGCCAGGGGAUGGAUGCAAGAAGUCAUCAAGGAGUUUUUCCUGUCGCUCGGAGUCCGCUCACUGGAAACAAGCACACGAUUUAAAAAGAUAUUGGAAGAACAGCUUGGACACAGAGAAAGGAAUGACCUGGAGUCUUAAAAAACAGACAAGCUUUUCAGUAGCUUGGAGCUUGGAACAAGAAGCUAAAAGUCAUGAGCUCAACAACAACAAUAGAGCCAAGAGCAUUCCCUCUCAUCUGGUGUCUGCAGUCCUGUGUCUGCUCCGAGGCGUGGGCUUCCAGGCACUCUGGUGGUGUCAACUCCAAGGACUGGUCCAGCUUGAGUCUGCUGCAUUUCCAAGCUCAGAUAACAUGGGAUGUUUUCAGGACAGCCUGGCUGCUGGCCAGGUUCUUGCCAGAACUGGGAAAUGGGAACCAGCAAAACAAAUGUUUUUAAUAUUAUUUUUUUUCUUUGUACGUGUCUGAAUAUGAGAGAAACAUAACAAAGAAAAACUCUAGGUUUUGACCUAUUCAGCAUCCAUUAGUGGUGUGCAUUCAAGGGUCUAGCUCGCCUGUAAUUCAAAAAGAUUUGUUCUAUAGUUGUAUUUGAAAAAAUCUAUUUUAGUACUUGCUAGAAGUUUUGGGGUUAGUUUUGGUUGCCUUUUAUAGAGGUGAGUUGGUUUGUGUAGGGUUGGUUGGUGUUUUGGUUUGUAUUUUUUUUUUUUUUUUUCAAAUGUCAUUAUUGUUUUUCCCUUCCCGUAUUUUCUUGGAUCAGAAGGUUCACUGAGAUGCCAAACUAUGGCUGGCUACAGCUCCGGUACAUCUUGUAACAAUGCAGGCCAUGACAUGCCAGAGUGAUGGAGCGUGGUAUGUACAGUCCAGGAAAGAUGUGACAGAUUAACAUUGCUGAUAAUGUUUCCUGCUCCAGAUCUUCUACUAAAAUCCCCUUCUUCCAGGUAGUUUAACCCUUGAGACACUGAUAUAGUGAGUACCUAAAGAAAAGAGAUUCCUGCAGACAACCACGGCAGUGGUGGACAGUUGGAGUAUUUUGUGCUCCAUCACAACAAUAUUUCUUCAUUGUAGAGCUGGGCAACAGUAGAAAUGCGGGUUAUUCUUUACUAGCAAGGGAACCGUAAUUUCUGCUUAAUUUCUGUGUAAUUUCAGGCAGUGUGCUGGCUGGGAUCUGCAUCCUGCCCCUGCUUCCACAAGGAGUACGAGGAAUGCUAAGCAGCAUCCACCACGGCAUGCUCCUCUGCAGAGUAAAGUGUGACGGCCCCAAAAUACAACCUUGGUCAGAAAGGUCAUGUUGGGGAGGAGGGUUGUAGGAGUAUGAAGAAAGAAAACAAUCAGUGUGAGGGGGGAAAAACCCCUUUUCUUCCUCUUCCCAUUCAUCUUCUCCCACUUUCCCCACCUAGAAGGCACGAAGUGGUGUGCAACACCUGCAAAACUUAUGUAGCAAUAGGCCAGGUUUUGCAAAGGUACUCUAAUUAAUCCUGGGUUUUGGGAUAUAAACAGGUUACAGUUUUGCUUUGGGUGAGGUGCUCAGGAACCAGUGAGAGUCCUACAGCCCUGACCUACAGGCCAGCCCACAAGGGAAGGUGACAAGCCUGGAUUACAGGUUCAUUAGUUCUUAACCUGAAACAAGAGGGAUGUGCAGGACGAACAGAUGUCAGUGUUUCUGAAGGAAGCUGCACUCUCACGUGAUGAAGUCUUAACCUGGUGGGAGGCAAUGAAAGUUGAUUGCUGUACUCACCAGGCUCAUGGUUUCCUUUGUAGUCUCUUUAUUUCACUCCCUAAAGGUUUAUAACAUCUAACUAUCUAACUAACACCAUAACUAUCUAACAUGGAUAGAAGAAGAGACUGUAGAGAUGGUUUGAAUAUCAGGAUUGCUCACCUGCCCCCAAGGGCGGGUCUGGAGCACUCAGAAGCUUCCUCCUGCUCAUCUGAGCAGUAGCAGGGCUUUCUUGGUGAAGCUCCAUUCCAUUUUUUACGACAGGAGGUAUAAGCAGUUUCCAAAAUUUGGAGAGGAAAUACACGUACAGCGCUCCCCUCAUUACAACAGUGAGUGGGAGGAAAGAAAGAAAAAUCCUGCAAUGAUCAUUAUUGAGUUGAAAAGAAAAAUCUCCAGGCUGCAGGCUGCCCUAGCCACUGGGGUUAGGCAGACAAUGAUUUUCCACCUAGCAUUGGGCAGGCUCAGGACAGGCUCUGGGCUGAAUCCUUGAUUUGGGAUGAUUCUUUGAUUUGGGAUAAGGAGCCCUGUUGUCCUGGAUUUAAAUAAUUUAUUGGGAACACACUUUUCAACAAUUACAUCCAGAAAUUCUGGUCUUAUUAAAGUCACAAGUGGAACUCGAUGAAUUUUGCCUGGCAGGAUCCAGAGAUGGAAAAGAAAGGGAAGAUCACCAGAAGCAGUCUUAAUUCAAAUAGUUGUGUUUUUCUGGAAGAGAGAGGAGAGAAGGAAACUCUUGGUAGUUAGUCAUUUUUCCCCACCUCUUCAACAGAGCCGCUAGUAUAGGGAAACUGGUGCCCAAACAUUAUUAUUUGCAAGCAUUUAUUAAUAUUUGUAUUUAUUGUUUUCAUGAAGCAGAAUCUCCGCAUUAGGUUCCAUCGCUUUCCAUUUAGCUUCUUGAUUAUCUAAUUGUGUCCAUGACUAAUGACUAUGGCAUCGACUGCUGCACAUAGUCCAUCCAUCCUUGCAUCUAUGCUGGAGAACAAAGUUACUGAAAGGUCAGUUACUGCACAGAUUUAUUGCACUUUAUCUGUUCUGCUGUACCUAGCCACACGCAUGCCCUCAGCCAGCAGCCCUCAAAGGGCAGCCUGGGCCAUGUUCAGCAAGGAUGUAGCUGCCUCCUCUGGUCCCAGGACAAGAGCUGGCAAAUGGGAAGUUACCUUAUUGUAAGUGGUGUGCUCUAAAAUUACACCCUAGCUUACCUUGCGGUAACUUGCUCGUGUAGUCAUGGCCUUAAGGUUUUUCUUUAGUAUCCAUGGCCACAACAUCUAAGCAUUUUAUGGUACAGCAUACACUAAACAUUAAUUUCAAAUUAUUGAGAAUAUUUUCAUGACUCAACAACUUUCUAAUGACCGUGUACCUUAUUAAAGUCUUGCAGCCCUUUAAUAACAAAGUUUUCCCUGAUCCCUUGGCAUUUAAACACCCUGUAUAGCUGAAAUUAAAUGCAUAGCUGAAGUGUUUUUUUAGGACACUCGAUUUAAAGUGAGCCCAAAGCAGCAAAGGACUCUUUGAACAUCUCUAGAGUGGACGCUCCCAGAGCUGUCUGUAUACAGUUUGAAUUAAUUAUUCCCUUCAUGGAAAUUGUACAAGAUGUCCCCCAGGCUCUUUUUGACUGCCUUGCUGCCCUUUUGUGAUAAUCCCUUGCUAUCCUCUGGGCUUUCUGCGGUCCUAAACUUAACAUAUAAAGCUAUUUUUAUCUAGGGGCUAGGGUGUGAAUAAAUGCAGAGAAUGUCUCUGAACAUGACUUUGUGUUCGUGAGCCUUCCUUCAGCUUGAUUAGAAACGCUCAAACUUUCUUGCAAGCUGCCUUUGAGCAUCCUCCGGUGAAAUAGCUGUAGUUAAGAAGGAUUUCUUCUCUCCUGGGUCACAUGAGGCAGCAAUCAGCCAGGAGCAAAAGGGAAGCUUGGAGGCAGACUGGAGGCUUAGGAGGUGAGGCCUCUGGUCUCUAUUCUUCCGUGCACCACUGCUGCAUGAAAUGACCUUGGACAUGUCUCCUCGACACUCUUGGGUAAAGUAGGUGUGACUCAGGCAAUCAUCCCGCAGCUACGCCAGCGCCCCACUGUGUGUCUUUGCUGGGCUCAGCUCAACUCAUUUAGCUGGGGUUACAAUAGCACCUUAGGGAGAUGGGUUCCCAACCCUCCAUUAAUUUUAAAUGGUGACACAGGUGCCUCAAGGGUUCUUAAAAAAUCCAGCCCUUAAUGUUUUAUGGAAAGGAUAUAAUGUGCCAGGAGAAAAGAAGGAUUUUGUUCUUGUCAUUAGUUGUGAUGAGUCCUUAGGGUGGAGGCAAAUAACUUCGUGGCAUUGCAAAGAUCCCUACAACAAGCCCCACAACCUCUUAUCUUUAAUGACCACCAGCAGAGAGAGCACACAGAACAACUGCUUUGUACCAAAAUACCAGCUCAGUCAGACAGCAGCUAGCCACAGGUUACCUGCCCCGCCAAGAGCCUUGCCGAGCUCCUCCUGGCAGCAGAGCUGCUUCUGAGAUUUUAAAAAGUGUCCAAGUCUACUUGUUCCAUCAUUUAAACAUCAGUUGAGAAAUUUCUGAUACACUUAAAAAAAAAAAGAAAAAAAAGAAAAGAAAACACAAAAAAAAUCCCCCAAAAGCCAAACCCACCAAACCACUGUAUGCAGCUUGGGACCCAACCAUGGCAGGGCUGCUGCUUGGGGUCAGCCGGAUGGGUGUCCUCAGGCACUGUCAGCUGUGCUCCAUCUGUGCUGGAGACUGCACUGGCAGGUUUGCUGGCCCAGGUGAGCCCGGUCUUGAUACUGUCUUGUACCCGCCUGGCCCAAGGCUUGCACAGGGGUACUACAGAGACCUGCUAAAAGCUAGACUGGGGUAAAGGCUAGCUUAGAGCCAAUGUCAGCUAGCUCGUGAAAGGGACAAAACACCUACAAGCUCCACAGAGCACCAGGAAGAACCCUACGUGCAUUCAGAGAAAUGGUGGUCUGAGAUGUUCUGGGCCCACAGGAGCUGCGCUCGGUCAGUUUGGGUCACAGGUAACGUGACCAGCGUUCUUUCAGGCCAUCAUCCUUCUUAUUUCAAUGUAAACACUUCCCACCUGUUCCAAAUAUGCAUGCCAUUCUCCGAGACUUUCCAGCAUUGCUUACAUUUGCAGAACUUUAUUCCCCGCUCCCUGUGCCGCAUCUGUUCCCAUCACAGCUGUGGCCACCCUGUUCUGUCUGGCUGACACCCCCGGCCCCCCCUUCCCCUCCAAACCACCUCCCCCUCCGAGAUCAAAAUACUCUGUUUUUAUUUAUUUACCCUGCAGCUGUCAGUGUUGUGUCUGGGUCAGUGCACUGCAACGUGGAGGGACACACGAUAGGUGGAAAAUCCUUAAAACUGCCAAUCCUGGUAGUAACCAACAUACACACCAUCAACAAAUAUAUCCCUUAGCCCUUUGCUCCUUUGAAAACAACAGGUCCAGGCAAUGGAAGAAAUGACGUUGUUGGAGGCUGGUACAGACAUCCUGGCCUGAGCCAGCACCGCGUUUGCAUGUGGUGAGGGAGAAGAGGCAGGGCUGAAGAUAGGGGCUAGCCCAGGGCUGCCCACCACGAUGUUUUUUGGCCCUGCCCAGAAAUGCGCAAGGCAGAGACAGGGCUGUGAGACGUCAGGCAAUGGCUCUGCUGUUGGCUGCCCCACACACUGCUUUUUAAGAUGAAGGGCAAUGCUGUAAGUGUUGCAAAGUGGAAGAUGCUGUUGAGGAACAGGAAGCAUCCAGGAUGGCACAUGGUGGCAGAGGCAGGCAGAGCAAGGAAUGAGUCUGAUUUUCUUCCGUUUCACUGCUGAAUUAGAAGCUCAGUAUCCAGACACCAGCUUCAGUGGGGGUGAGGCCUCAGCUCUGUUCAGCCACAACGUCCUGUAAAGACAGACUGGUAUGUGUGCUCACCAGUGGACCUCUCAUUCCUACAUUAGUGCAAAUCUUGCCCCUGGUGUAAAGACAAAAGUCUUUACCUGUGUAAAGCAAUGAGUAUGACUGUGAUUUAGGGUUGGAGAGAAAAAGGAAGAAUUUUUAAGUAGACAGUGCCUAGUAAUAUAGGUGCUUGCUGCUGACCACUGUUAACUGAUACAACACACUUUCUGUGUUUUCAGGAGGGCUUGCACAGUGGCUGGAUGAAUAGACUUGAUCAAAAUUCCCUGCUGUGCUGGUGAUACAGAACUGCAGUGGAUCUACUUCAUGUUGCCCACCCCGUGCGGCCCAGCAGCCACAAGUGAGACCAUGUUGUGCAGGCGCUUGUGUUUCUUCAUGGAACGGACCUGCAGGACCAGAUGCUGGCGGAUGUGCAGGAUGCUCAGUCUCCUCUGCUCAGGGUGUGAGAUAUGGAGUUGCUCUGCAUGCAGACCCGUCUUCUUGCUGCUUCACGAUUUGUGGUUAACACAGUGCUCGGAGAAACCCAGCAAAAAUCCCUCCGGGUGACUAGUGUUCCACCUUGCCAGGGAGAUCAAUCGAAGUUCAGCUGCCAACUUCAUGAACAAGAUUUCAACUCAUGUCUGUGAUUCGUGAUGAAAUGAAAUCCACGGCUUGAAAUCAUUUAUCCAGCAUAUCCGAUCAAACACAAACAUCCUCCGUGCUUUAAAAUAAAUGAGGGUUGGAGCCAGCUAGGCUGCUGCAGGGGUUUGUGAUAGAUUGAUGAGCUGAGAACAAGCUGCCACCCUCCACCCCCACCAUCAGUGACUUCCCAGCCUGGGGAAGGGGACGCUGAGGCUAGAGGUGAAGGAUAUACUUUCUGAUAAGUGUUACAGUGGGAGGUGAGAAAUAUGAGCUCCCAGAGGCAGAGAAGAGGAAAGAGGCAGGCACCGUGCUCUGUUAAGCAGGGUACAGCUUAGACACAGCAGCUGCUUGACAGGCUUCUGGCACGAGGGUCAGGGCAGGAGCAGCCCUGUGCUUGCAGCACCUGUUAUUGAAUGCUACCCGUAGGUACCAGGGCAGCACAGCCCAUGCUUUCUGGCUGAUACAGUCUUUUUCCAGUCGUGUGUGAAGGUAAGGGGGCUGUGAGAUGAAAGGAGGGAGCCGGUGAAACGGCUGACAAGGUCUGCCCUCUGUGAGAUGCAGUAACACCAGCAGCAACGCAGAAGGGCUUGCAUCCAAGUGGCUUUUUGGUGUU